CAAAUAGUCAAAACUUUUAACAACGGAUCUCUUGGUUCUGGCAUCGAUGAAGAACGCAGCGAAAUGCGAUAAGUAAUGUGAAUUGCAGAAUUCAGUGAAUCAUCGAAUCUUUGAACGCACAUUGCGCCCGCCAGCAUUCUGGCGGGCAUGCCUGUUCGAGCGUCAUUU
Molecule: ribosomal RNA, 168 nt
Filed under: Colletotrichum brevisporum
Lineage: Eukaryota; Fungi; Ascomycota; Sordariomycetes; Glomerellales; Glomerellaceae
Description: 5.8S ribosomal RNA
Rfam family: 5.8S ribosomal RNA
About the family: 5.8S ribosomal RNA (5.8S rRNA) is a component of the large subunit of the eukaryotic ribosome. It is transcribed by RNA polymerase I as part of the 45S precursor that also contains 18S and 28S rRNA.
Source: RNAcentral